Molecule: ribosomal RNA, 484 nt
Filed under: uncultured bacterium
Lineage: Bacteria
Description: partial 16S ribosomal RNA
Rfam family: Bacterial small subunit ribosomal RNA
Source: RNAcentral
AUUGAACGCUGGCGGCAGGCCUAACACAUGCAAGUCGAGCGAAUGAAGGAGGCUUGCUCCUGGCUUCAGCGACCGACGGAUGGGUAAUGACUAGGAAGCUGACUGGUAGUGGGGGAUAAGGUAAGGUAACGGACGCUAAUCCCGCAUACGUCCUGAGGGAGAAAGGGAUGGAUCUUCAGACCUCACGCUAUCAGAUGAGCCUAGGUCGGAUUAGCUAGUUGGUGGGGUAAAGGCGUACCAAGGCGACGAUGCGUAACGGGUCUGAGAGGAUGAUCAGUCACACUGGAACUGAGACACGGUCCAGACUCCUACGGGAGGCAGCAGUAGGGAAUCUUGCACAAUGGGCGAAAGCCUGAUCGAGCCACGCCGCGUGUGUGAUGAAGGUCUUCGGAUUGUAAAGCUCUGUUAGUUGGGAGGAAGGAAAGUAUGUGUAUCUCUUCACGUCUUGACGUUACCUACAGAAUAAGCCACGGCUAACUUCGUG